Molecule: ribosomal RNA, 458 nt
Filed under: uncultured bacterium
Lineage: Bacteria
Description: partial 16S ribosomal RNA
Rfam family: Bacterial small subunit ribosomal RNA
Source: RNAcentral
CCUACGGGAGGCAGCAGUGAGGAAUAUUGGUCAAUGGGCGAGAGCCUGAACCAGUCAAGUCGCGUGAGGGAGUACUGCCCUAUGGGUUGUAAACCUCUUUUGUCGGGGAGCAAAAGCCGGACGUUUCCGGCUGUGAGAGUACCCGAAGAAAAAGCACCGGCUAACUCCGGGCCAGCAGCCGCGGUAAUACGGAGGAUGCGAGCGUUAUCCGGAUUUAUUGGGUUUAAAGGGUGCGCAGGCGGAUUUUUAAGUCAGCGGUAAAAUCGUGGGGCUCAACCCCAUCCAGCCGUUGAAACUGGGGAUCUAGAGUGUGCGAGAGGUAUGCGGAAUGCGUGGUGUAGCGGUGAAAUGCAUAGAUAUCACGCAGAACCCCGAUUGCGAAGGCAGCAUACCGGUGCACAACUGACGCUCAGGCACGAAAGCGUGGGUAUCGAACAGGAUUAGAUACCCGAGUAGUC